GGGCGGGUAGUUCAGGGGUAGAACGCCACUCUGACGAAGUGGAGGUCGCUGGUUCAAGUCCAGCCCCGCCCACCA
Molecule: transfer RNA, 75 nt
Filed under: Armatimonadota bacterium
Lineage: Bacteria; Bacillati; Armatimonadota
Description: tRNA-Val
Rfam family: tRNA
About the family: Transfer RNA (tRNA) molecules are approximately 80 nucleotides in length. Their secondary structure includes four short double-helical elements and three loops (D, anti-codon, and T loops).
Source: RNAcentral